RNAcentral lists this long non-coding RNA (1459 nucleotides) under Durio zibethinus. Its description in RNAcentral is "long non-coding RNA (DZIB_LNC001987)". Lineage: Eukaryota; Viridiplantae; Streptophyta; Magnoliopsida; Malvales; Malvaceae. The record is from RNAcentral.
UCACAAAAUUUCAAUGCACACCUUAAGCUAAGCAUCAAUGCCAACACUUUCAAAACAACACCAUAAUUUAAAAAAGAAAUCUAAAUAAACAACGUUGUCCUCAGUUCUUCUUAUUCAUGUCUGCUGACAUAGACAAGGCAUGCAACAUUAAUCCUUGUUUAUUCAAACAGAUUCUCUUGCAGCCGCCGCAUUAAAACUACAGAAAAAACCUGCCUAAUCCACCUUAUGACAUUGUUUAUAACCAUCAUCAUUAUUAUUAUUAUUAUCUACAAUAUGACAAAGCUGCCGGUCUAUCCGAAAUCCAGCAAUCAUGGGUUCCAAAAAGACAGUAAACUAUAAACUUAUCUGGGCUAAAUUCUUUCAGAUAUCGUUUUCACUUUCAUCAUCUGUGUUAUAUGAUGAAUCAAAAUUCUCGUACCCCAGGUUUUCUUAUGCUUUUGCCUGCAAAAGAGAUUGAGCGUGAUUAGGGUUAAGACCUGUGUGUUGAGGAGGAGAAACCAAGCAUAUUCUCAAAUUGUUUAGAAUGAAAUAUGGAAUCUAUCGAAAGCAUCUGUAAGGCAUGAGGAAUAAACUAUUGCAUAGUCUUGUUUGCCUACGGUUAGGUUGGUAGACAUGGGUCCGGAUUGUUCAACUGGUUGAUUGAAAUCACCUACCACCGAAGAUGUCAACUGUCAUAUUUGGCAGCUAGUAAGGACCCGCCCCGGUGUCAACAUCUAAGGGUUGUACUUCUCCACUAACUACAGCACCCCCUUGAUCCCUCACAAGAUUGGCGAGUCAAUCAUCUCUCUAUGGAAGGAGGCAUUCAACUAUCACAGAUACAAAAGAUACAUCUACCACCAAAAACUUGUAGGAGGUACUGAGUAGCUGUUAAAAGAUUUUAGCUCAGUCGGUUCGUGCAAUCACCUUUAAAAGGUGGCGUCCAGCAAGUUUGGGGGUUCAAAUCUCAGAAACUGCAACAAUUUCACUUAUCCCAUAUCCUCAGGCUACGGUCUUUUUGUACAAAAAAAAUAGUCCAACACACAGAUCAAAGACACCGAACACCAGAGAUAUUCAAGAGUUAGAUCAACUAGCAUAGAUCCACCGUUAAUAUAUCCUAGACCAAGGUGACCAACCUAAAAGGUGACACGAUUAGUAGCUAAAUCAACUAUCCUUUUUAGUGUGUGUUCCUAAUUUUACCCUUAGAAAUCGUCACUGGCUAGAGCUCUGAAAGAGUACCAAAUCUUACAUGCAAUGUUUCCCACUACGAUAUGUUACAGGCCUUAUCUCAAUGGAAGGUAUCAUCCAAAAUAAUAUAAACUACAAGUCAUGAACAUACAGACAAAUAAAUUUGUCAUAUAUUAUGUCAGCUAAUUGGAUAAAUAAGAUUAAGCAUAGAUCAGAAUAUAAAGUAGUUACAAUUUAUUUAGAACAAAUGCAAUAUUCAUAAUUUAAUUGAUCACUCACCUGGAAAUACAAGAAG